GGAAAGAUGCCGGAGUGGUCGAUCGGGGCGGUCUCGAAAACCGUUGUGCGUUUUUACGCACCCAGGGUUCGAAUCCCUGUCUUUCCG
RNAcentral lists this transfer RNA (87 nucleotides) under Muribaculaceae bacterium. RNAcentral describes it as "tRNA-Ser". It matches the Rfam family "tRNA". From Rfam's summary of the family: Transfer RNA (tRNA) molecules are approximately 80 nucleotides in length. Their secondary structure includes four short double-helical elements and three loops (D, anti-codon, and T loops). Further hydrogen bonds mediate the characteristic L-shaped molecular structure. tRNAs have two regions of fundamental functional importance: the anti-codon, which is responsible for specific mRNA codon recognition, and the 3' end, to which the tRNAs corresponding amino acid is attached (by aminoacyl-tRNA synthetases). tRNAs cope with the degeneracy of the genetic code in two manners: having more than one tRNA (with a specific anti-codon) for a particular amino acid; and 'wobble' base-pairing, i.e. permitting non-standard base-pairing at the 3rd anti-codon position. Lineage: Bacteria; Pseudomonadati; Bacteroidota; Bacteroidia; Bacteroidales; Muribaculaceae. The record is from RNAcentral.